AUGAAGAGGGAGGCCGUGCGUAGCUACUGGGAUGCGGUGGCGAAAGAUGACCGGAAGCUCAGCAAGUUCUCUCUUGGCUGCCUGGAGAGCAGAGUAUUCUCUUGGUCCAUCGAAGAUAUCUUCAACAGGGACCUCCUCAGGCAGCAGGUCAAAAGCAUACCGGAUACCUUCACGUCAUUGCACACUUAUUUGAACUCGUUCAAAUGCCCUCUGAUUGAAGAAGUACAUGCUGAUGUCUUUUCAUCAUUGGACGGUUAUGCUCAGGCAAACUUUAUAGAAAUAAUGUGGGUGGAGAAACUUGAUGAUGAGAAAUCAAUAUUCUGUUUUGAGGUUUCCGAGCCAUCAAAGAAUCCGAAGUCGAGGGAGACAUACGAUCCCAAAGAAGGGGACAUCAUGGUUGUGUCCUUGCAGAAACCACAACAUGUGUCUGAUUUGACACAAAAUAAGGGAUCAUAUGUUUUAGGUUCAGUUCUAAAAUGUGGAGACAAAGAAGACGGAGACAUCCCACCCAAUUGUUGUAUUGUUCGGUUUUCAUCCACUAUUCCUGUUGAAGUAGAUCCAGAAACAAAAAUUCCUACGGGGCCAUCAUUUGCUGUGUUUCUCAUAAAUAUGAAGACAUACAACCGUAUAUGGGGUUGCCUUUAUGCGGAAGGAGAGCAUCAGAACGGAAACAGUAGUACUGGCAUCGUCGAUCUGGUGUGGCGAUACAAGCAAAGGAAGGUAGUGGAUGAUCUCUCGUCAUGCUCGGAGAUAUCUCAAUGCUUCACUCAUAGAUCAAUUGAUGGUCUUGGCCUUGAGAAGUUCAACUUAAAUGAUUCACAGCUGAAUGCAGUAGCAGACUGUGUCUCAGUAAUGGAGAACCACUCACCUUCCCUAAAACUAAUAUGGGGGCCCCCUGGGACAGGUAAAACAAAAACUAUCAGCACUAUCCUGUGGGCAAUGCUCAUCAAGGGCUUAAAGACACUUACCUGUGCACCAACCAAUACUGCCGUAUUGGAAGUUGCAUCUCGAAUUGUCAGGCUUGUUGGAGAGUCCUCAGAUGGUAGCGUCUGCUUUCUGAAUAACAUUGUCCUGUUUGGAAAUAAGGAGAGGAUGAAAAUAGAUGGUGAUCAUGAUCUUUCCACGGUAUUCCUUGACUCACGUGCAAAGCGGUUGUCGUCAUGUUUCGUACCACAUACUGGUUGGAGGCAUUGCUUGUGCUCACUGAUAGAUCUUAUUGAGAAUCCUGUGACCAGGUACAAAUUGCAUAUUGAGCAUAUUCUUAGGGAAAAGUAUUUGAAAGAUAGAUACAACAAACUUUCUGAGGAUUUGUGUUGUUGCAUUGAGAUACUGUAUAAUGAUUAUCCAAGAAGCUCUGAAGCAGAACAGAGUUUUCAGUGUAUGCUGGAAGUGCUUGAAUUAAUCGAAAUUCUCCAUGCUUUUAUAAAUCGUGACAGGGGUAAUGAUGAUAUAUGGUCAGAGGAACUUCUUGAGGGCAAAGUAGAAGAGGACAGUAAUCCUAUUUCCUGGCCUGAGAAGCUAGCCUGUGUGCGGACUAACACAUGCAGUAAAUCCAAGUUCAAGCUGGCCAGAUCCCUGUGUGUGCAAGAAUUAAGAUAUCUUCGCAAAAACUUGGAGCUUCCAAAUUAUUACACCAAGAGGGAAAUUCAACUGCAUCUUCUGCAGAGCGCGAAAUGCAUUCUUUGUACAGUUUCCAGUUCUUUCACGUUGUACGGUGUGCUCAUGGACGAUUCUUCUUCUGUUAAGUUGCUGAUUGUUGAUGAGGCUGCACAGCUUAAAGAGUGUGAGACCUUAAUUCCCUUGCAGCUGCCAGGCAUAAAGCAGGCUGUUUUUAUUGGAGACGAAUAUCAGUUACCUGCUCUGGUGAAAAGCAAAAUAUCUGACAAUGCUAAAUUCGGGAGAAGUGUUUUUGAGAGGUUAAGUAUGCUGGGUUAUAGUAAGCACCUUCUCAAUGUGCAAUACAGGAUGCAUCCAGAAAUAAGCAAGUUUCCAGUUGUUACGUUUUACGAUGGCAAGAUAUCUGACGGUCCCAAUGUCACUACUAAGAGCUAUGAAAAGAGAUUCUUAGCAAGCAAAAUCUUUGGGUCAUACUCAUUCAUAAAUGCAGAUGGAGGACAUGAAACAACUGAGAAGCACGGACGUAGCCUGAAAAACACAAUUGAAGCUGCUGCAGUUUCGCGGAUAGUGCAGAGGUUGUUCAAAGAGUCAUUCUCUACAGGAAUCAAAAUCUCAGUUGGUGUUGUGUCCCCAUAUAAUGCUCAAGUUAGAGCAAUCUCUGAAAAGCUUGGGAAAUCCUAUGAUAGGUAUGACGGUUUCUCUGUGAAAGUGAAAUCUGUGGAUGGUUUCCAAGGCGCGGAGGAAGAUAUUAUUAUCAUAUCAACAGUGAGGAGCAAUAAAGCUGGUUCUGUUGGAUUUCUCACAAACAUGCAGAGGACCAAUGUGGCUCUCACAAGAGCUAAGCACUGUUUAUGGAUAGUAGGAAACGGGACGACUUUAUCCAACAGCAAGUCUGUUUGGCAGAAUAUAGUCAAAGAUGCGCAAGACCGAGAUUGCUAUUUUGAUGCCGAUGAAGAUAAAGAUCUAUCAAAUGCAGUAAUCAAGGCCGUCAUCGAGCUCGACGAUGCUGAUAAUCUAGUGAAAAUGGACUCGCUGCACAUAAGCAAGCCAAGGUUUCAGGUAUUACCAAAAGCCUUCUGA
This 2697-nucleotide ribosomal RNA is filed under the name Triticum aestivum (bread wheat). RNAcentral's name for it is "partial small subunit ribosomal RNA". Lineage: Eukaryota; Viridiplantae; Streptophyta; Magnoliopsida; Poales; Poaceae. The record is from RNAcentral.